GGGGGCGUGAGAGCGCGGCCCCCACACUGGCACUGAGAUACGGGCCAGACUUCUACGGAAGGCAGCAGUCGGGGAUAUUGCACAAUCGGCGAAAGCCGGAUGCAGCGACGCCGCGUGGGCGAUGAAGGCCUUCGGGUUGUAAAGCCCUUUUAUGGGGGAAGAGACAAGGACGGUACCCCAAGAAUAAGCGUCGGCUAACUACGUGCCAGCAGCCGCGGUAAAACGUAGGACGCAAGCGUUAUCCGGAUUUACUGGGCGUAAAGAGCGUUGAGGCGGUUCCGUAAGUUGGGCGUGAAAGCCCCGGGCUUAACCCGGGGAGGUCGUUCAAUACUGCGGGACUUUGAGGGCAGCCGAGGGAGGCGGAAUUCCCGGUGUAGCGGUGAAAUGCGUAGAUAUCGGGAGGAACACCAGUGGCGAAGGCGGCCUCCUGGGCUGUUUCUGACGCUGAAGGCGAAAGCUAGGGGAGCGAACGGGAUUAGAAACCCCGGUAGUCCUAGCCGUAAACGAUGGAUGCUGGGUUUGGGGGGUAUAGAUCCCCUCCGUGCCGAAGCUAACGCGUUAAGCAUCCCGCCUGGGGAUUACGGCCGCAAGGCUUAAACUCAAACGAAUUGACGGGGGCCCGCACAAGCAGCGGAGCGUGUGGUUUAAUUCGAUGCUACACGAAGAACCUUACCUGGGCUUGACAUGUAGGUAGUAGUGAAGCGAAAGCGGAACGACCCUUCGGGGAGCCUACACAGGUGCUGCAUGGCUGUCGUCAGUUCGUGCCGUGAGGUGUCGGGUUAAGUCCCGUAACGAACGCAACCCUUGCCCUUAGUUACAUGUGUCUAAGGGGACUGCCCGGGACAACUGGGAGGAAGGUGGGGAUGACGUCAAGUCAGCAUGGCCUUUAUGUCCAGGGCUACACACACGCUACAAUGGCCGGUACAAUGGGUCGCCAAGCCGUGAGGCGGAGCCAAUCCCCCAAAGCCGGUCUAAGUUCGGAUUGUGGGCUGCAACUCGCCCAUAUGAAGCUGGAGUUGCUAGUAACCGCGCGUCAGCAAUAGUGCGGUGAAUACGUUCCCGGGCCUUGUACACACCGCCCGUCACGUCAUGGAAGCUGGCAACACCUGAAGCCAGUGAGCUAACCCGCAAGGGGGCAGCUGUCGAAGGUGG
This 1152-nucleotide ribosomal RNA is filed under the name uncultured organism. RNAcentral describes it as "bacterial SSU rRNA". It matches the Rfam family "Bacterial small subunit ribosomal RNA", at positions 286 to 1465 of the family's 1533-position model. The record is from RNAcentral.